Molecule: ribosomal RNA, 504 nt
Filed under: uncultured bacterium
Lineage: Bacteria
Description: bacterial SSU rRNA
Rfam family: Bacterial small subunit ribosomal RNA
Source: RNAcentral
AGGGUUCGAUUCUGGCUCAGGAUGAACGCUAGCUACAGGCUUAACACAUGCAAGUCGAGCGGAACACCUUCGGGUGUUUAGCGGCAGACGGGUGAGUAACACGUAUCCAACCUUCCCUUACUCGGGUAUAGCCUCGGGAAACUGAGAGUAAUCCCCGAUGUGGUGCACGGAAAGCAUUUUUUGCGCACGAAAGAUUUAUCGGUAAGGGGUGGGGAUGCGUUCCAUUAGGUAGUAGGCGGGGUAACGGCCCACCUAGCUGAUGAUGGAUAGGGGUUCUGAGAGGAAGGUCCCCCACAUUGGAACUGCGACACGGUCCAAACUCCUACGGGAGGCAGCAGUGAGGAAUAUUGGUCAAUGGGCGAGAGCCUGAACCAGCCAAGUAGCGUGCAGGAUGACGGCCCUAUGGGUUGUAAACUGCUUUUGUGCGGGAAUAACGGUCGCCACGUGUGGUGAUGUGCAUGUACCGUACGAAUAAGGAUCGGCUAACUCCGUGCCAGCCGCUGC